RNAcentral lists this ribosomal RNA (235 nucleotides) under uncultured bacterium. RNAcentral describes it as "partial 16S ribosomal RNA". It matches the Rfam family "Bacterial small subunit ribosomal RNA", at positions 82 to 334 of the family's 1533-position model. The record is from RNAcentral.
UCCUUCGGGAUUAGUGGCGGACGGGUGAGUAACACGUGGGAACGUGCCCUUUGGUUCGGAACAACUCAGGGAAACUUGAGCUAAUACCGGAUGUGCCCUUCGGGGGAAAGAUUUAUCGCCAUUGGAGCGGCCCGCGUCUGAUUAGCUAGUUGGUGGGGUAAAGGCCUACCAAGGCUACGAUCAGUAGCUGGUCUGAGAGGAUGAUCAGCCACACUGGGACUGAGACACGGCCCAG